UACGAAGGGGGCUAGCGUUGCUCGGAAUCACUGGGCGUAAAGCGCACGUAGGCGGCUUCUUAAGUCAGGGGUGAAAUCCUGGAGCUCAACUCCAGAACUGCCCUUGAUACUGAGGAGCUCGAGUCCGGGAGAGGUGAGUGGAACUGCGAGUGUAGAGGUGAAAUUCGUAGAUAUUCGCAAGAACACCAGUGGCGAAGGCGGCUCACUGGCCCGGUACUGACGCUGAGGUGCGAAAGCGUGGGGAGCAAACAGG
RNAcentral lists this ribosomal RNA (253 nucleotides) under uncultured bacterium. RNAcentral describes it as "partial 16S ribosomal RNA". It matches the Rfam family "Bacterial small subunit ribosomal RNA", at positions 524 to 776 of the family's 1533-position model. The record is from RNAcentral.